CGUAAUUAUCACACUUAAUUCCCAUUCACAUUCAGUGUUUUUCUGCUUACGUGUUGUUGCAGCCAAAAGAGUUUUCUUCCUGCCCCCUGAACUCAGAUGAAGCUGUCAAUGAAUGGCUGCACUUCUAUGAAAUGCAGGCUCCUUUGGUUUGUCUACCAGUUUUUGUUUCCAAAGACCCGGGACUUGAUUUGCGACUGGAGCACACCCAUUUCUUCAGUCAUCAUGGCGAAGGCGGACAUUACCACUGUGAUACCACCCCAGACACAGUGGAGUAUCUUGGCUACUUCUUACCUGCACAGCUCCUCUACCGCAUUGAUCGGCCCAAAGAGACCCAUGCAUUUGGGAGAGAUUAAAGCAGCUGAUGCUUGCUUAGAAAAUGGUUAGCUAAGGUUAAAUCCCUAACUCAGCAACUGAUACUAAUUAAAAAAUCCAGUAGAGAGCCAGAGGUUGCUUCCCUAGCAAGCCAAGGCCCUGGCUUAAUCCUCAGCAUGGAAGAAAAACACACAAUAAGAGUAAUUUCACUACAUAAACACUAGUUUUAUACUAUUUCAAAUGCAAGGAUACUUGAUACUCCUAUUAUUUAGCAUCUUCAUGUGAAGAAGAUUAUUAGUAACAAAGAUACCUAAUUGAGAUGCUCACUUUCCUAUAUGCUCACUUUAGUAAAUCAAUUUCAUAUCUUUAUAGCCUGGCAAAGUCUUCUCUUCAUACCUCAGAUAUAAGCAGAACAGGGACCUUCCAUUAUUCCUGCUAUCUAGGAAUAACUUACAUUUGUGUGACAUUAAAUUUUGCAAGUUCAUCUCAGAAGUGCUAAGGGAUUAUUACUGAGUAUUAGACACAAAAGUGUGGAAUCUUCGCACUGAGUUUUUAAAGCCCACAAAGAAAACCAGUGUACUCUGUUCUCAGCACUCGGCGGACAAGGUGGCUCUUUACUCUGGUGACAAUCUACACUCAGAAGUCUGCAGCCUGCCUUCCACAGAUGUUAGUAACAUUGAUUAGCCAGGCUCUUCUCAAAUUAGAUCUCCAUCCAACGGUUUGUACCUUAGUAACUGCAAGAUAAGAAGGGAAAGAGACAGCAACAAAGCACAACACUAACAUGAGCAUACUUUAGUAAGGCUGCUGUUGAACAUGGCCACUCUCCAUCACGAGAUAAAACUACACUCUUAGUGUGUGGUGUCUUGAAGACACACGUCUGUGCCCUUUUGUUGGCUAUUAGAAUAUUGAGACAAUGGACCCCAGGAAAUUGGAAUUCCCUCAGGAUUCUCAUGCCAGGAGAAUCCUGGUGCCAGCCAGAGGAGGGACUUGUCUCCUGGAAAGAGAUGUCACAUAGUUCUGCAGGACCAACAGGAGACUAGUCAGUCAGUGGGGGUGGGCAGGACCACAGCUUGACCUGCUGAGUUGGGCAUACAUCUUGCCUUCUAUUUAAACCUGAACCUCAUGCCAGGAUCCCAACAUAGAUUUUGCAGAAUAGUGGGGAAUCCAGAGACUUGUUUGUUCCUCUUCCCAAUGUGACUACAUUCAAGAAAUCUUUUUAUGCUUUUCAAAAAAUUACACUAUUACUGUGUGCUGAUGAUUACAAAACUUGCUGUUCUGUAAUAUAAAACCUGUGAUGAUCAUUAACCAGAAAUCAACCUUGCUAAUGACAGUAAGGUGUGGGUCUAGGAAAUCUUUAGAACCAAACCCUAAAUGUUUUCUGAUUCCUUACUUUGUAAUGAACAUGUCUUGUGAGUAUAAACAUGAUUUUUGAAACAAAACUGAAUAAAGUAAUAUUUAGUGUAUUGUUUCUCA
This is a long non-coding RNA of Meriones unguiculatus (Mongolian gerbil), 1785 nucleotides long. NCBI's taxonomy places the organism in Eukaryota, Metazoa, Chordata, Mammalia, Rodentia, Muridae. The record is from Ensembl.